Molecule: small RNA, 369 nt
Filed under: Histoplasma capsulatum var. duboisii H88
Lineage: Eukaryota; Fungi; Ascomycota; Eurotiomycetes; Onygenales; Ajellomycetaceae
Description: Histoplasma capsulatum H88 hypothetical RNA
Source: RNAcentral
CGCAGGAUGUCUCUGGAUCGGGCGGAUUCUGCCGAUGAAACUCUCUCCUGAACUAGAAGAUAAACCAAAAAUUAAGCCGGUAUAAUCUGAAAGCGACCCUCACUUUGAUAGGAGGGAAAAAAGAGAUGGUAUAUCCCCCCUAAUUCGAUUUUGCCAAACGUGGGACACAAAAUUUCCGCCACCUCAAAUCAACACUUGCAUCUCACAGCAACAGGGCCCAUAGAUCCACAAGAGAUCAAUAACCGAUGUGUUCUCCCGCUGGCUACCUUCAGUCUUGUGAUAUCUCUUCUGGCUUUAAAUUAGAAAAUCUGACUGUGUACCCCUCUUUACUGGACACAGCCAUAUCUCAAUUCGAGAUCAUAUGCGGAU